AGAAAAAUGGAAGGUUUCGAAUGUCAGAAAGAAAUAGGGGAGAUAGAGAAUAGCAAGGAGAUCUGAAAAUAAAUUAAACGGAAAAAGCUUGCCGUCAGGGGCAAAACCGGAAACUAAUGAUUGGGCCAUUUUAAAUGGACUAGUUUAAUGUUGGGCUUUGUCCUAACCAUUAAAUAAAGUUAUUACAUGGUUUUUGGUUAAAAUUCAAAGUUUUCAAGCCCUUUUCAUUAGUUUUCCUUAUUUUAAUUGUUAGGAGAAAGUUUCCUAAGCCCCUAUUAGUAAUUAAUAUUCCCACGUUAAAACCCACCGAGGGAAAAAAUUUUGAAAGUCGAAUACAAAAUAAAAAGAGCAGAACAAUAAAAAAUAACAUUUGAGGAAUGUCAAUAAUAAUAACUCCAAAAAAUCAAAAUUUCACAAAUAUUAUUGGUAAAAAAAUCUAGCAAAAUACAAGAAAACAACUAUAUUCUAGGCCCCAAUUAAAAGAAUUACCACGCGUAUUUAGGCAAAAUCUAGUAAUCUCAAGAGUAGAGUAAAAUACAAAGAUCUCCAAAUCAACUUUUUGAAUGAAGUGUCAAUAUAAUUAACGAAUUUUUAGUAAGUUAGUAUAGAAUAAGAAUAUUCUACUAAUUUCAUUUACUUCUCUUUCUUCAAGCUUACUCCUCUAUUGUGUUAUAAAUAGGACUCCAAAAGCCACAAAACACAACCUCUCUCAAACCUAAACGCACCCGAUAUCGCAUAAUGGCCUACCGCAACCAGCCUGAAACUGCCUUUAGUGGCUACCUCGAGGUCUACGAGCCUGAAACUGCUCGUGCUGGCUACGCCAUGGUGACGCCCUCGACCAACAGCGCACCGAAGAACGUGUUUCCUAAUGGCUACACUAUGGCGGCGCCUUUGACCGACAGCACACAGAUGAACGCCCAUGGUGGCUGUGCCGGGAGGUGCACCUCGACCAACAACAGACAGAUGAGCGUGUCCAAUGAAGUUCAGACCCGAGUGAGAUCCUCGUACAACAACCGAUACGAUGGAUCUUCGAGCAGUUAUACGGAGAUGUUGAAGGAACAAGACUACGUGGACAGGCGGACGGGGCAGAUGGGUCACAAGCAAGAGGCCAAGAAAACCUACACCCACAAGAAUGUUGACAAGGACCUAGGGUUUACUACGGAAGUUAAGAUCGAACAGAAGGUCACCAAAACUGUUUACCCUAACAAGAGUUCAAGCAAGUCCAACAACAACCGCAUCAACUAUUAUUAGAUCUUUUUUGUUUUGGUUGAGAGUGGGAUUUGAACCCAAAACUAUUACUAGUUCUUUUAAUUUAUGUGUUUAUUUUGGAUUUCCUUAGGGUUUUUUUUAUUUAUAUUUGUGGUCGUUGAUUUGUUAUAAAUCUAUUUCAUUAUUUUCAUCUGGGUAAUGAAUUUUGUUAUCUGUUUAUAAUUUUAGGGUUUAGGGCACUAAACCCUAUGGUAUUUGGUUUGUUAUGCUACAUAGUUUAUAAUAUGGUUUUUUCCAUUAAGUAUAAUUAUAUGCAUGUGACAGGAAAAAUUAGGAUCGAGUGAGGUGGGAGAAAUUGUGGAAGAAUUUUGUUUUAUUUUGAUAUUCUUUAAUAGUGUAAAAAUUAUUAAGUACAACGAGAGAUAUGAUGAAUUUAUUUGUGUCUCGAUAAAAUCUUCUUGAAAAUUUCGAUCAGAUAAAAAAGAAAGGAGCGUUUCAUAUGUAAUUAUUAAUUUAUUGAAAGUUAUAACGAAAUUUCCAAAAAUAAGUUGACAAGCCAUUUCUAUUAAACUUCUCGCUUCUAAAAUUUGGGUCAAAGACCACAGAUGCAUCUAGCUAAUCAUCUCAAUGCCUACGAUCCCUUGUGAAUAAGGAGUGGUUUGGGAGUGAGGUGCUUAAAAAAAAAACAUCCAUGAAAAAAAGCUGUGAGGGUUUUAGGUGUUUGGUAAACUAAAAACAAAAUGGCUUAUUUUGGAAGCUGCUGUGAGAAUAAGUUGAAAUUAAAGGAAAAAGCUGAAGCUGCUAUUUGCAGCUUUGGAAAACUGGCUUUUUUUUUUCAAAGCACACGGAGCUACAGUGUUCCUUUAAGGAAAAGACCCACUCUCAAGCUGCUUUUUUUUUUUUUCCAAAAGCACUUUUACAAAAAAGUUUACCAAACACUCUGCUGAUUUAUUUCACAGCCGCUUAUUCUCACAGCAUAGCCGCUUAUUCUCACAAUAAUCUUUUUUCAAAGCACAGAUACCAAACCAGCCAUAAAGACAAUGGCUACAGUGAGCCACAAAUGAGUGAACUAUGGCCACAAAGCAUGAUGCUAUUGGUGUAAACCGCAGCUAAGUAUAGACUAGCAAAAUAAAUGGUAUGUGUUUAUUUAUUUUCCAACAACAUAUGCAGCUAUAUCAACACUUGUACCAGGUCCCAACCGCACAGAUGGACAGUAAAUGUGGCUUCUACCAUGGAAACCAAUGGCUAGUGACCCUAAUUUUUAGUAGUGUCUUGAAAGAAAAUGCUAACUGUUUGUAUCUUUGUGUUGUAAAUAAUUGUAUGUCCACAUGUGAAUAGUAAUGAAUAAGGCAUAAUUUGUUAUGUUAUGUCACGGGAAGUUGUUUUCAUUCAUUGUAAACCUUCUAUAAAUAGAUCACCACAUAGGUGAUCAAGACACUACCAGAGAAAAACAACUGAUAAUAAUAAUAUUCCUCACUUCCUCUGCAAUCAUUUUGUGUUGGUAUAAUAUUUUGCAAUUGCUUUGCUCCUGUCCCUAGCAAAGGUUAUCUCUCUAACUUUUGCCUAUUUAUAACACGUUAUCAGCACGGCUCUAACCAUUUCUCAUUUCCCUUCGCCGAAAGAAAAAAAAAAUGUCUCCUCUAAGGAUUUUACUAUUCUUCUUCUUCCUCUGCCUCAACUGCUGGAUAUACCCUAGCAAAGAACUGUUUGCACCAUGCCUGCUUUUAAUUCUUAACAUAACAGUUACUUAUAUCUUUGAUUUCUUGUUUGGUGUAGCUCUUGACUACUAACCCAGUGUUUAUUUAUGCAAUCCAAGAUGGUGCGGUAUCAUCGCCUAUCUUGAACUGCAAAUCUAAUUUCAAUGCAAAUUUUAGGUGAAGUAGUAUAAUCGCCCACCCUACCCUGCUUAUUUAAAUUUGCCUGCUAUUUAAUUUUAUUGCAAUUUUUGGUGGUGUGGAAUAAUCACACACCCUGCUCUACAUAUUUAAUUUUUCUGCUGCUUGAGUGGUGCGGAAUAAUCGGUCAUCCUAUGUUAUUUAAAUGAGAAUGGUGCGGUACAAUCGUCUUCCUCAUUUAUCAUGUAAAUCUCGAGCCUGAACUUUCGAGUGCUUAUCAUUUUAGCCUAAAGAUCAAAAUGAAAAAUUUGUAAGGACCAGAAGUUCUAACAAUAUAUUCCUUCAGAAUACAUAUUAUUGCAAGUACUUACACACCUCAUUUUUCUUUCAAAAAAGAAAAUGACGAACUUGGCAAAGCUUGAUUUUGUUGCCCUGGAUAUUACUAGAAAAAACUACCUUACUUGGGUAAUGGAUGCCAAGAUCCAUCUGGAGGCAAGAAAUCUUAGGGAAACCAUCAAGAAGGAUAACAGUGCAUCCUCUCAAGAUCGGGAGAAGGCCAUGACCUUUAUCCGUCGCCACCUGGAUGAGAAACUGAAGACCGAGUACCUCACAGUUGAAGAUCCAUUAACCUUCUGGAAGGCACUGAAAAAUAGAUAUAAUCACCAGAAAACGGUGAUUCUUCCAAAAGCUCGUUAUGAGUGGGCUCACCUAAGAAUCUAGGAUUUCAAGAUGGUGGCUGAAUACAAUUCUGCAAUGUUCAGAAUUAGUUCCCAGUUGAAGCUCUGUGGAGAAACAAUAACUGAGGGCGAUAUGCUGGAAAAGACUUUCAGCACCUUUCAUACCUCCAACGUGCUCCUACAGCAGCAGUAUAGAGAAAUAGGCUUUACCAAUUACAACCAGCUGAUAUCUGUACUUCUUGUAGUCGAGCAAAACAAUAAGCUUCAGAUGAAGAAUCAUCAGUCCCGACCUACUGGAUCAUCACCAUUCCCAGAAAUGAAUGUUGCUUCCUUUGAAGGAAAUACCACAUCCUCUUGUGGAAAUAAUUACAAACGAGGAAAUGGCCACAAGCGAGGCCGGUGGAAUGGGAAGGACAAGAACCAUGGUGUUCAGUUUCACAACCAGGUUCCAAGGUAUAAUCCAGGCCCGAGCUUUAAGAAUGCAAAUCACCAGAAAGACAAAGCUCAUAUGAACACUCCUAGAAAUCCUGAAGGAGUUUGCCAUAGGUGUGGUGGCAAUGGGCAUCGGGCGUGUACCCGUCGUACCCCAAAACAUCUAGUCGAUCUGUAUCAAGCCUCCCUUAAAGAGAAGGGUGUCGAGACCAAUUUCCUCGACCAAGCUCAACCAAUGGAAAUAUUUGAUCCAAUGUCCAAUUUAUCAAGACAAUUAAACACAACCCACCUGGAUGUUUCAGACUUUAUUAUUGAAAGAGGGAAAGAAGUUUAUGGGUCUGAUUGAAUCAUUUGUGUUUAAUGUACUCUUGUUAUUUGUACUUGUGGUUUAAUGCUCACAUUUUCAAUUCAAUCAUAGUAUUCCAGUAUGAAUAAACUGCUUUUUAACUGUAAUUUCUUUAGUCAGAGAACAUGGAUAAAAAUUAUGGUUAUUCAUAAAACAAGAGCAAUGAUGGAGACUUUUAUCUUGCAGACAGCGCAACCAUGCAUUCAAUACUUCGAGAUCGAAAGUAUUUCUCUAACUUGGUAUUUGCAAAAGUAAAGGUAACAACAAUAUCAAGACAAUCAGAUGUAAUUGAAGGCUUAGGAAAAGCCCAGAUUAUGUUACCAAUUGAAACAAUAUUGUCUAUACAAAAUUCGUUGCACGCCACUCGGUCUACUCGAAAUUUGUUGAGCUUUAAAGACACACGUCUAAAUGGAUACCACAUUGAAACAAAAAGUGCAGAAAAUGUAGAAUAUUUCUGCAUUACCUCCAAUGAUACCCAGAAGCGUAUAUUGGAGAAGUUACGUAGUUUAUCGAGUGGAUUGUAUUAUACAUACAUAAAGACAAUUGAGGCAUAUACUAUCAUAAACCAAAAGUUCAUUGAUUCAAAAGUUUACAUGUUUUGGCAUGAUCGUCUGGGUCAUCCAGGAUCUACCAUGAUGCAUAGAAUCAUUACUAACUCUAAUGGACAUCCAUUAUUAAGCAGACACAUUGAUGUCUCAAAUGAUAACCCUUGCAAGGCUUGUUCCCAAGGGAAGUUAGUAAUUAAACCAUCACAACUAAAGGUUGAUGCUGAAUCCCCAUCAUUUUUGCAAAGAAUUCAAGGGGAUAUUUGUAGACUUACUCAACCACCUUGUGGACCAUUUCGAUAUUUUAUAGUUUUGGUUGAUGCAUCUACCCGAUGGUCACAUGUUUGCCUAUUGUCUACUCGAAAUGUAGCUUUUGCAAGGCUUCUUGCUCAAAUAAUUAAGUUGCGAGCACUAUUCCCAAAUCACCCCAUUAAGUCAAUCCGACUUGAUAACGCUGGUGAAUUUAGAUCUCAAACCUUUGAUGAUUACUGCAUGUCGCUGGGCAUUGAUGUUGAACAUCAUGUUCCUCAUGUCCAUACUCAAAAUGGUUUAGCAGAGGCAUUUAUCAAGCAGCUUCAAUUAAUAGCUCGCACUCUACUCAUAAAAACAAAAUUGCCAGUCUCUGCAUGGGGACAUGCCAUCUUAUAUGCUGCAUCAUUGGUUCGACUAAGACUCAUAGCCAACCACCAAUACUCAUCAAUACAACUCGUGUUUGGGCAUUAGCCAAACAUUUCACACUUUGAGUUUUUGGUUGUGCGAUUUAUGUGCCUAGUGCACUACCACAACGCACUAAAAUGGGACCUCAGAGCAAAUUGGGAAUUUAUGUGGGUUUUGAUUCACCAUAUAUCAUUAGAUAUUUGGAACCCUUGACAGGUGAUAUAUUUACAGCUUGUUUUGCGGAUUGUCAUUUUGAUGAGAUAGUCUUCCCGUCGUUAGGGGGAGAAAAGACCGGUCUAGAAGAACGGCAAGAGCUAACAUGGAUUGUUCCCACCUUAUCUCAUUUUGAUCCACGAAGCACUCAAUGUGAAAAUGAAGUGAAAAUGAUCGUUCAUCUUCAAGGUAUUGCUAAUCAAAUGCUAGAUGCAUUUAAUGAUGCUUCGAAAGUGACAAAGUCACAUAUACCAGCUGCAAAUGCACCUGCAAGAAUUGAUGUCCCUAUUGGACAAAAUAAAAUGGCAGCGAAUGAUUCAUCUAGUACACGUCUGAAGUGUGGUAGACCCUAGGUUCAAAAGAUUCAGCCCCUCGAAAGAGAAAGAUGAGGGCAUAAUUGAACCCAAAUGAAAUCAUUCAGGAAAAGAAAAUGAAUGAUAAAUUCACAAUUCAUGAUUCUGUACUUCCAGAAAAAGAAAAUGUCCUUGAUGAGACACAUGUCCCUGAAGAGACAGAAGUACAUGAAAGCAAAGAAAUAUCCAUAAAUUAUGCAUGUACUAAUGAAUUGUGGCAUCAAAAUGAAAUAAUCAUCGACGACAUGUUUGCAUUUGCAAUAGCCACUGAAAUUAUAUUAAACGAUGACAUUGAGCCCCGCUCUGUUGAUGAAUGCAAAUAGAGACAUGAUUGGCCUAAGUAGAAAGAUGCAAUCUAAGCAGAAUUAAAUUCCUUGGAAAGGCGAAGUGUUUUUGGAUCAGUAGUCCAAACCCCGCCUGGUGUGAACCCCGUAGGUUACAAAUGGAUAUUCAUAAGGAAACGCAACGAGAAAAACAAGAUUGCAAGAUAUAAAGCACGACUCGUUGCACAAGGUUUUUCACAAAGACUUGGAAUUGAUUAUGAAGAGACAUACGCUCCUGGAAUGGACGCAAUUACAUUCCGUUACUUAAUAAGUUUGGUGGUUUCAGAAAAACUUGACAUGCGACUUAUGGAUGUCAUCACCGCGUAUCUAUAUGGAGAAUUAGAUACUGACAUAUAUAUGAAAGUCCCAGAAUGACUUAAGUUGCCUGAAGCAACUAACAUACCACGAGGUAAGGCGAUCACUAUAUGGGCUGAAAUAAUCUGGACGAAUGUGGUAUAAUCGUCUGAGUGAGUAUUUGAUCAAAGAAGGAUAUAUCAACAAUGUCAUAUGCCCUUAUGUGUUCAUUAAGAAAUCAAAUACUGGAUUUGCUAUAGUGGCAGUAUGUCAAUGAUAUGAACCUAGUUGGAACUCCUGAAAAGCUCAAUAAAACUGCUGAAUAUCUAAAAAGCGAAUUUAAAAUGAAACACCUUGGGAAAACAAAAUAUUGUCUCGGCCUACAGAUCAAGCAUUGUGCUAAGGGAAUUUUGGUCCAUCAAUCAGCUUACAUUGAAAAAAUACUGAAGCGAUUUGGCAUGGAUAAUAAGGCUUAUCCACUUAGCACCCCAAUGGUUGUUCGUUCUUUAGACAUUAAGAAAGAUCAAUUCCAUCCAAAAGAAGAUGAUGAACUGGUCCUUGGUCCAAAAGUACCAUAUUUGAGCGCAAUAAGUGCUUUAUUGUAUUUAGCACAAUGUACUAGACCAGAUAUAGCUUUUUCAGUUAACUUGUUAGCCAGGUAUAGCUCUGCUCCAACAAUUCGUCAUUGGAAGGGAGUCAAAGAUGUUCUAUGAUACCUUCGUGGGACAACAGACAUAGGUCUCUUCUACUUAGACAAGUCCACAAAUGACCAGAUCCUUGUUGGAUAUGCAGAUGCUGGUUUCCUCUCUGAUCCGCACAAAGCCCGCUCACAAACUGGAUAUGUGUUCACUAAUGGAGAUACUGCAAUUUCAUAGCGCUCAACAAAGCAAACAUUAGUCGCUACAUCUUCCAAUCACUCGGAAAUAAUUGCUUUGUAUGAAGCAAGUCGUGAAAGUUCUUGAUUAAUAUCAAUGAUCCAUCACAUUCGGAAUUCAUGUGGUAUACCUUCAAAGACAGACACUCCAACUGUUAUCCAUGAAGAUAAUGCAGCAUGUGUUGCCCAAAUGAAUGAAGGAUUCAUCAAGGGGGAUAAGACUAAACACAUAUCUCCAAGGUUUUUCAGUGCACAUGAGCUUCAGAAGGCUAAAGUUAUUGAAGUUAAACAAAUUCAUUCCAAUGAAAAUCUGGUAGACUUGUUCACCAAAUAUUUACCAAAGUGCACAUUUCAAAAGUUAGUGCAGGGAAUCGGAUUACAUCGGCUUACCAAUUUGAAGAAUGCGGAAUCAAGGGGAGAUACAAUUCAGAGGGAGCAUCUAUGACACACGCAUGUUGUACUCUUUUUCCUUCGAUUAGGAUUUUUUCCUACUGGGUUUUUCCUAUCAAGGUUUUAACGAGGCAAUGUAAGCACACUUAACACCAUAUCAACAAUACACCAUAUCAACAAUCCGAGUAAAGUUGUACUCUUUUUCCUUCGCUAUGGUUUUUUCCCACUGGGUUUUUCCAAGCAAGGUUUUAACGAGGCAACUGGUGUUGGUAUGUGGGCAUCCAAGGGGGAGUGUUGUAAAUAGUGGGAUUGUAUGCCUACAUGUGAAUAGUAAUGAAUAAGGCAUAAUUUGUUGUGUUAUGUCACGGGAAGUAAUUUUCAUUCAUUGUAAACCUUCUAUAAAUAGAUCACCACAUAGGUGAUCAAGACACUACGAGAGAAAAACAACUGAUAAUAAUAAUAUUCCUCACUUCCUCUGCAAUCAUUUUGUGUUGGUAUAAUAUUUUGCAAUUGCUUCGCUCCUGACCCUAAUAAAGGUUAUCUCUCUAACUUUUGCCUAUUUAUAACACUUUGCUUAUUAUUCCAAAUUUUCUCACUUUUAUGCUUUUGGGGGGGGGGGGGGUGACCAUCAUCCCAAGAAUGUGUAAGGAACCAUAAUUUUCGAAUUGUUUGCCGAAAAACAUCAUAAAAAUUUGAAAAACUAAUGUAGAUAUUAAAUAAAGUAAGGCUGGGCAAUUAAAAAAAACCCGACUAAACCACAACGACGGUUUGAUUUGGUUUUUUUUUUCGAUGAAUAAAAAGAACUACACCGACUGAAGUUGGUUUUGACGAGCAGUUCUUAUAAUUUUUGGAUAUCGGUUAACUGUACGACCCGUUUGUUUGGCUUUAUUUGUUUUAAUCAGAAUAGAAACCUUAGUGGUGAUGGUGGUGUUUUGUCUGUAUAUGUAGAAUGACUUUUAUGUUGCCUACUUUGCAUCAACAUCACCUUUUAUUUACUUUCUUGCCUUUUUGCCUUUUUGUUCUUGUUCUUGUUCUUGUGCCCUCGUUUUGGGUGUUUAAUGGAUAUCACUUUUUGGCUGUUUGUUCUCGUGGCCUCUUUCUCUCACUUUCAAUCUUAGUUCUCAAACUUAGCACAACAAACUCCCAGCCGCAUCCUCCAUUCUUCCUCCACCACCAUCGUGAAUCUCUCCAGAUGAUAGCUCUUCUUCCCCACUCCGGCGUCAUCUGCAAACUGAAAACCGAUCCAAACCAACCAGCCAACAUAAUCAGUUUUAGACUCAGCUUGAUCGGUUUCGAUUUGCAAUUUUGGCUCAACCGACCCCAACACAACCGCGCCCACCCCUAAAAUAAAGAGUACUUUUUUUAAACAACCAUAUACUUUGAGAGUAGAGGGAAUAAAUUAAUAUCAAACCCAUUAUCAACCAAAUUCGAACUUAAGAGCUCUUAUACGAGCCCCUAUUUAUUAGAACAAAAGUAUAUACCUAUUGACUUCAGUUUAUUAGGACAAUCCAAGAAGAUAUUAUUAAUUUUAUUUUUGCCGCUAGAAUUGGAAAGCAAAAUGGAGUUCUUUGCAGCUAAGAACAAAAUCAAUUAAGCUACGUAUUAGGGAGAAAAUAAGUACAAGUAUUAUAGUCAAUUCCUAGUUUUAAUUUGGACUUUUCAAAAUAUUAUUUUUGGUUGGAGUCAUGUACGUAAGUUUCACUGUCACAAGACAUCCCCUAUCCAAUAGUAUGCAUUGCUACGAAUUUUUUUACACGCAACAAUGUAUUAUUGGACUUGGAUGCCACGUGUGUCGGUAAACACACACGUCAAAGGCAUAACCAGCCACGUGUGGCGUUACUCGACAUGUUAAGAAAAAUGAACAAGGACCAACACCCUCUCAUUUUUCCCCAUUCCUUUUUACAUUAUUUUCCUUCAUAUCCAGUCGUCUGAAUUCAUUAAAAUCAAACAAAAUAAACAUGAGUCCAAGACUGAACAUCUCAAUUAGUCACCCAUAACUAGACGAGACUCAAAGGAUAAUAUGGAAAAGCAAGAUUAAUCCUGCGAUCAAUCAAUCAUGCUUCACAGUUUUAUGUCAGCUUAGGACACUAUUAUUCAGACGAGGAAGAUGACUUGAGUCGCUCGACUUUAUUGCAUACCAGACUCGACUCAAUCUUCCAUUUGGUGCGACACACGACUUGUCAUCUAUUUAACCAUCUUACAUCCAUAAUGUACCACAAGUAACCCAUGUAAACUCAGAGGUCAAGUCCGUAUAUUAUCCAUGCGUCCCCAAACUCAAGAGGAGUUCAUAGAGCAGAGCAAUGAGAAUUAUCGCACCACCCAACCAGAUUACUGCGAGAUAAAAAAGUCAUCGAAGCCACUUGUCUGUCUCAUGAUCUGCAAGCACACAGUACAAGAAUUAAG
RNAcentral lists this long non-coding RNA (10551 nucleotides) under Malus domestica (apple). RNAcentral describes it as "long non-coding RNA (MDOM_LNC017702)". Lineage: Eukaryota; Viridiplantae; Streptophyta; Magnoliopsida; Rosales; Rosaceae. The record is from RNAcentral.